GACGUAGGGUCCGAGCGUUGUCCGGAGUUACUGGGCGUAAAGGGCGCGUAGGCGGCUUGGUGCGUCCCACGUGAAAGCCCCUGGCUUAACCAGGGAGGGUCGUGGGAGACGGCGAAGCUGGAGGCAGAGAGAGGCUGGUGGAAUUCCCGGAGUAGUGGUGAAAUGCGUAGAUAUCGGGAGGAACACCGGUGGCGAAGGCGGCCAGCUGGCUCUGGCCUGACGCUGAGGCGCGAAGGCGUGGGGAGCGAACGGGAUUAGAUACCCCGGUAGUCCACGCAGUAAACGAUGUGGACGAGGUGUGGGGGGAGUUGACCCCCUCCGUGCCGGCGCAAACGCAGUAAGUCCACCGCCUGGGGAGUACGGCCGCAAGGCUAAA
This 376-nucleotide ribosomal RNA is filed under the name uncultured bacterium. Its description in RNAcentral is "bacterial SSU rRNA". It matches the Rfam family "Bacterial small subunit ribosomal RNA", at positions 524 to 898 of the family's 1533-position model. The record is from RNAcentral.